Molecule: long non-coding RNA, 276 nt
Filed under: Chinchilla lanigera (long-tailed chinchilla)
Lineage: Eukaryota; Metazoa; Chordata; Mammalia; Rodentia; Chinchillidae
Description: lncRNA (ENSCLAG00000026954.1)
Source: RNAcentral
ACAGACCGCAGAUGAGCCAGGGCAUACUUUGGGAGCUGACAAUUUCAGCUGCCUCCAGACAAACUGACAAUGUGCAUCUGCAGCUUGAAAUUGUUCUAGUAUUGUAUAUUUAAAAAAAAAACUGACACAAGAGGAGAUCGAUCACACUGGACCUCGACCUUUCCUGGAACAUGAGUACCAAUGAAAUUUUCAUACCUUGAAGCAUCUGUAAAAUUGAAAUAAAGCCAGUAAAUUAAAAGGGAGAACAACUGGGAUGGGGGGAAAAGAAAAAAGAAG